Dicentrarchus labrax (European seabass) is the source of this 636-nucleotide long non-coding RNA. RefSeq lists it as uncharacterized. Lineage: Eukaryota; Metazoa; Chordata; Actinopteri; Moronidae. The transcript has 3 exons. The record is from RefSeq and is a predicted model, not a curated record.
CGCUGAAACAGGCCCGCUGAUUCCACCUUACUUCGCUGAAUCAGCGGAGAGGAAGCCACCACAAGCUGGCACAGGUGGGAGAAAACUAAAGGGCGGGGCACAAACGUCUAUCUAAAAAGAAUCCUUGUCACCUGCAGAGGAGUCACUGUGUCGUCUCACCAGAAAGCCACAGUGUUAAACGAAGUAUCUGUAUACCACCAAUCUAUAACAGUGGAGCCUCCCAAUGUCGUCAAUGUGCUUUGAUCUGUGACAGUACGAACCAGGCUGACUCUGGGAGGGGUCGACUGAAGGAAAAACUUCAUUCGCUGCCACUCUGAUGUCUCCAGCUUCAUAUAAAACAAUAACACAGACCAGCCCGGCAUUAACCGCCGCCACGGCCCAUUGUAAACCCCCAAUGGAAACGCCAUGUAAUGUGUGUGAGUGUCACAGCAGGGCAGGGCCAUUACGUCACCCCGGUGUAAGCCGUCAGAUGUGUUACUGCAUGCAGAUGUUGCCAUAGGUACACACAGACGCCUGCUCUCCAUCGCAGCAACAGCAGCAGCAGCACUUCUUUCUAUUUUUCAUGAGCCCGGGUGGUUGCCAGGGUUUUUGUUUCCAUGGCCACGCUGCAGUCUGAUGCAACAAAACCCAGCCAAC